GGUAAAGAUCCCGGUUCAAUGACAGAGUAUCUGCCUGGCAUGCAGAAGGCUCCAGGUUCAAUUUCUGGCCUCUCCA
RNAcentral lists this transfer RNA (76 nucleotides) under Sphaerodactylus townsendi. Its description in RNAcentral is "tRNA-Ala". The stretch from base 13 to 68 matches the Rfam family "tRNA", at positions 9 to 63 of the family's 71-position model. From Rfam's summary of the family: Transfer RNA (tRNA) molecules are approximately 80 nucleotides in length. The record is from RNAcentral. Lineage: Eukaryota; Metazoa; Chordata; Lepidosauria; Squamata; Sphaerodactylidae.